GGGGCUGAUUCUGGAUUCGACGGGAUUUGCGAAACCCAAGGUGCAUGCCGAGGGGCGGUUGGCCUCGUAAAAAGCCGCAAAAAAAAUAGUCGCAAACGACGAAAACUACGCUUUAGCAGCUUAAUAACCUGCUUAGAGCCCUCUCUCCCUAGCCUCCGCUCUUAGGACGGGGAUCAAGAGAGGUCAAACCCAAAAGAGAUCGCGCGGAUGCCCUGCCUGGGGUUGAAGCGUUAAAACGAAUCAGGCUAGUCUGGUAGUGGCGUGUCCGUCCGCAGGUGCCAGGCGAAUGUAAAGACAGACUAAGCAUGUAGUACCGAGGAUGUAGGAAUUUCGGACGCGGGUUCAACUCCCGCCAGCUCCACCA
RNAcentral lists this transfer-messenger RNA (364 nucleotides) under Salmonella enterica. It matches the Rfam family "transfer-messenger RNA". Rfam says of the family: Bacterial tmRNA, also known as 10Sa RNA or SsrA, is named for its dual tRNA and mRNA-like properties. Its role is to liberate the mRNA from a stalled ribosome. To accomplish this part of the tmRNA is used as a reading frame that ends in a translation stop signal. The record is from RNAcentral. RNAcentral also lists the same sequence under 1 other name. Lineage: Bacteria; Pseudomonadati; Pseudomonadota; Gammaproteobacteria; Enterobacterales; Enterobacteriaceae.